RNAcentral lists this long non-coding RNA (1653 nucleotides) under Marmota monax (woodchuck). The record is from RNAcentral. Lineage: Eukaryota; Metazoa; Chordata; Mammalia; Rodentia; Sciuridae.
CAGAAUCGCUCGUCUGUUCGUGAGCUCCUUCUCGGUCCCUGAGGGCUGCCUCAGAAUUCCCUGGGAGUGACAGUGACACCUCCCCUCCUGGCCCCAUGGUGAAUGGUCCUCUGUGUGAAGGGGAUGGAGCUGGGCAGAAGCAACAGGACCAGCAGGCAAAGGGUGUGGUCAGCGCCCAGGCCUGGGUGGCCAAGAGAGGUGGCCCCACGUGCCUUCAAGUCCUUCCUGCCUGGACUGUGCCUCCCUGAAAUCUGCUCAGGAUGGAGGAGCCCGUGAGCAGGACUUGGGCGGAAAUGAUACAGGACCAGCCACGUGGGUCCAGAGGGGUCUGCGAGGCAGCGCGGUACCGUGCAGAAGUCUGUUCUCUUAAAGACCCCCUGUCCUGGCCCAUGUCACUGGGCUGCCUCUGGCAAGUGGCUUAUUUCCUUUAAGCUUCAGUUCCUCAUCUCUGAAGUGGGGACACUGAGGUAACCACUGUCUUCCACCUGCAGGGCAGACGUGAGGCCCACCCAGGGCCUGAGGGCUGCAGACCUAGCCUGGAGCCUGGGUUAGGGUGAAGCACUGAACUCAGUGACUCUUGACCACCUUGGGGGACACACCACACAUGCACGGACGGCGGCUGAUGGAUGACCAGUGGUAAAGAGCCUGCAAGUGGCGCAGAUGGGCGAAUGUUGCAGGAGUUCCGAGCAGGGUGGGUCCCCGAGGUAGGGGCAGAGGGCUGGCGUUCCGGAGGCGUGACCUGGGCCUGGAAGGAGAACUCUGUGCCCAGGAAGGCACAAGCCUGGCCUGUUCCUCUCAGGCCUGGGAAGAGCUCCAUAAUCAUCCACCCUCCAUCAAAAAUGCUGCCCAUCGUUGACCCAGACGUCGUGUGGCGUGUGACUGCAUUUAUUUGGUUCUCCUCUGAUGGGCCAGUUCCAAGCCACCCACUCACUCUGGGAAACUUCAAACAACAUGGCCUAAGGAUUUCUUGUUGGUGGCUCCCAGGCAGACAAAAACAGCCAUGUCCCUCAGUGGGGACAAGGUCCUAUACACCCUUUGUGUCAUUUUGGCCACAGACCAGGAGAAGCUUCUCCAGAGUGACCACCAAGGACCUGGCACCCCUUCCCUCUGGCGCUAGGUAGAUACCUGUUCAUGGCAGCGCAAGAGCAAGGCUUCCUGGCUGCCCACGCGGGACAGGAAGGAGCCGCGUGCGCUGUGUGUUCCUGGUACAGCGCCGGGCCCUGCCGGGAUGGUCUGGGGAGCUGUCUGCUCGAGUUCCACGUCGCUGGACGUGGCAGUUGAGCUGGUGACUGUGGAACGUUCUAGAAGAGGAGUGGGGUGGGACAAGGCGAGCUUGAAGCUGGAGGAGCCGGGUGCCUGGAUCAGGGCAGCUGAGAUUCCAGGUUGCCCGCUGCCAGCCUGCAUGACACCUCCGCUGUCUGUCUCCCCAACCGGGGCCAGUGUGACUUCCCCUCCACGUGGGACGACGCUGGGGGGUGGGUGUCCUGGCAACAGCCUGUUAGGGUCUGUAAACAAGUCAAGAUGGCGCCUGGCAUUUUGCCAGAGGGAGUGGUUUGUGAAGUAACACCAGCGAGCCAUUAAGUGUGGAGAUUCCUUAAUGACUGACUGCUGUAUCUAGUUUAUGUUAAUUAGAUAAGCUGUGUGGAAUGUAUA